ACUUACAGUGAAUUCCAUGUGACCUAAACUGAAGGGCUGUGGUCGAUUCAGUUUGUCUGUCACUAAUCAAUAAAUGGCUGAUGAUGUGUCUGGAUGUGAAGCUGCGCCUCCUGCAGCGCCCCCUGCCUUUCUGAUGAUAAACUGCAGCUGCAGGGAAACACCAACACACCGGAAGUCAUUUUUAUGACAUAGCAAUAAAUACAUUUGAAAACGCAAAACGACAGAAAAAUCGAAAGUUACUCUGAGUCAAAUAUGUGUAAAAUGCUUAUGUCGAUUUUUUAUUAUUUACAGUUAAAUAUUGGUCACUGUCGUGGCGUGAUGACGCCAUGUCAGUCCCGGUCUUUUAUUGCGAAGGUCCGUACCGGACGUGUGUGUGAGUGAGUGAGAGGGCUGGUACCUCCCUGCAACGGAGGAGAGAGGAGGAGGGGAGCGGAGCUGAAGGUCACAGCAGGAGGAUCAGCAUCACCAUCCUCAUCAUUGAGAUUAAUCGGUGAUUAACGAUCAAGCGAUCGGAUUCAUCAGCUGAGGACAGCGUCCUGACAUGAGACAAGAGGUCUCACUGCUGCCUGUCUGUCUGUCCGUCUGAUCCUCCACCAGCAGCCUCCACCUGUCUCUCGCUGCCUCCGUUUCUGCUCCUGUCUGUUUCUCCGUCUGUCUCACCGCCAUGGGGAACCGGGGGAUGGAGGAGCUCAUCCCGCUGGUCAACAGGCUCCAGGACGCUUUCGCCGCCAUCGGCCAGAACUCGAACCUGGACCUGCCGCAGAUCGCGGUGGUCGGCGGGCAGAGCGCCGGGAAGAGCUCCGUACUGGAGAACUUCGUGGGCAAAGACUUCCUCCCUCGUGGUUCUGGUAUCGUCACUCGGCGCCCCCUGGUGUUGCAGCUCAUCAACUGUCCAACAGAGCAUGCUGAGUUCCUGCACUGUAAAGGGAAGAAGUUUACAGACUUUGAGGAAGUUCGUCAGGAGAUUGAAGCUGAAACUGAUCGAAUCACUGGGCAGAACAAAGGAAUCAGCCCGGUCCCCAUAAACCUACGAGUCUACUCACCCAACGUGCUGAACCUGACCCUGGUGGAUCUGCCCGGGAUGACGAAGGUCCCUGUGGGUGACCAGCCGGCUGACAUCGAGCACCAGAUCAGGGACAUGAUCAUGCAGUUUGUCACCAAGGAAAACUGCCUCCUGUUGGCCGUGUCCCCCGCCAACUCUGACCUUGCCAACUCUGAUGCUCUGAAGAUCGCCAAGGAGGUCGAUCCACAAGGGCUGAGGACCAUCGGUGUGAUCACCAAACUAGAUCUGAUGGAUGAAGGAACUGAUGCCAGGGACAUUCUGGAGAACAAACUGCUGCCAUUACGCAGAGGUUACAUCGGCGUUGUGAACCGCAGUCAGAAGGACAUCGAUGGAAAGAAAGACAUCACAGCAGCUCUGCAGGCUGAGAGGAAGUUUUUCCUGUCUCACCCGUCAUACCGACACCUGGCUGACCGCAUGGGCACUGCUUACCUGCAGAAAGUCCUCAAUCAGCAACUGACCAACCACAUCCGGGACACGUUGCCGGGGUUACGCAGCAAACUUCAGAGCCAACUGCUGUCUAUUGAGAAGGAGGUGGAGGAGUACAAGAACUUCAGGCCAGAUGACCCGGGACGCAAGACCAAAGCCCUGCUGCAGAUGGUGCAGCAGUUUGCGGUGGACUUUGAGAAGCGGAUUGAAGGAUCUGGAGACCAGGUGGAAACCUACGAGCUGUCAGGAGGAGCAAAAAUCAACCGAAUCUUUCAUGAACGCUUCCCCUUUGAGCUGGUCAAGUUGGAGAGUGAUGAAAAGACUCUUCGUAAAGAAAUCAGCUAUGCCAUCAAGAACAUCCAUGGAAUCAGGACAGGUCUGUUCACACCUGACAUGGCGUUUGAGACGAUCGUGAAGCGUCUAAUCGCUCAGAUCAAAGAACCGUGUCAGAAAUGUGUGGACAUGGUGAUCAGUGAGCUGGUCAACACUGUGAGACAGUGCACGCAGAAGUUGGCUCAGUACCCGAUGCUCCGAGAGGAGAUGGAGAGAAUCGUGACUCAGCACAUCAGAGACCGAGAGAGUCGCACCAAAGACCAGGUGAUGUUGCUGAUUGACAUUGAGUUGGCCUAUGUGAACACAAACCAUGAAGACUUCAUCGGCUUUGCAAACGCUCAGCAAAAGAGCAGUCAGAUGAACAAGAAGAAAGCAGCAGGAAACCAGGACGAGAUCAUGGUGAUCCGUAAAGGCUGGUUGACCAUCAACAACAUCGGCAUCAUGAAGGGAGGAGCUAAAGAGUAUUGGUUUGUCCUGACUGCUGAGACCCUGUCCUGGUACAAAGAUGACGAGGAAAAGGAGAAGAAGUACAUGCUACCUGUAGACAACCUGAAGCUCAAAGACAUUGAGAAGAGCUUCAUGUCCAGCAAACACAUCUUUGCCCUGUUUAACACUGAACACAGGAACGUAUAUAAAGACUACCGUCAGCUGGAGUUGGCCAGUGAGUCUCAGGAGGAGGUGGACAGCUGGAAGGCUUCUUUCCUGCGAGCUGGAGUGUACCCUGAACGCGCCGUGGAUAAAGAGAAGGUGGAGGUGGAGGAGGCGAGUGGAGACGGGCAGAUCCACAGUCUGGACCCUCAACUGGAGCGACAGGUGGAGAUCGUCAGGAACCUGGUGGACUCGUAUCUCGCUAUCAUCCACCGCACCGUCAAAGAUCUCAUCCCUAAGACCAUCAUGCACCUGAUGGUCAACAACGCGAAGGAGUUCAUACACUCUGACCUGCUGGCUCAACUUUACUCCUGUGGAGACCAAAACACUCUGAUGGAGGAGUCCCAGGAACAGGCUCAGCACCGUGAUGAGAUGCUGAGGAUGUAUCACGCUCUGCGUGAAGGCCUCAGUAUCAUCGGUGACAUCAGCACCUCCACCAUCACCACGGCGAUGCCUCCACCUGUUGACGACUCAUGGCUACAGGUGACGGGGAUGCCUUCAGGACGCAGGUCUCCCAUGUCCAGUCCGACCCCCCAGCGUCGGGCUCCUCCUGGACCACCUCGUCCAGGCGGUCGUGCGGCCCCUGGCCCUCCAUCUCGUCCAGCAGUGUCACCUGACCCUGGACCACCUCCCUCUGUCCCCUCCCGACCCAACAGAGCGCCCCCCCCUGGAGUCCCCAGUCGGAGGGCUCCCGCAUCUCCAUCUCGACCCUCCAGAGCAGACCCUGACUCCUCCCUCUAACACCCACAGGUCAUGUUAUUAGGAUGAGUUCUACCUGCUGUUUUUCACCUUGCUGUACUGCCACAUCAGAGGCACCAGCUUAAGUUUUCUUCUGUCAUUUUUCCUGAGAUGAUGACAGAAGUCAUCCAUGUCUAUACCCAGUCCACACCUUGUUUUCUACCCUCUGCUCUCCUGUUUCGCGUUCUGGCUGAGACCCAGUUGUGAUCAUCGGCGUGAAGAUGUACAUGAUUCUUCGUCCCAGUAAAGGUAGUCCGGCCCACGGAGAGAGCCCCCAGUCUUCUGUCGAGGGUUAACCUGAACCAACCAUCAGGUUCCAUCUGGUUCCAACCAGUUCCACUGCUAAUUUGGACUAAACUGGCUCCACCUGUUUCCAGCUGCCUCUGACAAGUUGUCAUUGGUCCUCCUUGUUAUCAGCGUUUAAACCAACAGACUCAGUUAUAGUAAACUGUCAACAAAAAUCUGUAAUGUUCACAAUGUGAUUACAGCAGUCAUUUUAUAUAGAAUUAGGAUUAGCUUUAUAAUUUGGCUCUAAUUAAUUGGACGUAACUAAUCUGAAAUGUACCAACUAGACCUCGAAGUUAAAACAGAGCUGUAAAUCACAGAAAUCUUGUCAAAAAACAUACAUGGAGGUUAUAAGGGAAUAGAAAAAUAAAGUGACAGUUCAGAUCACGACAUGAUUCUAAAAUCAAAACAGAAUUUGUAGCAAUAGAAAGGAGUUGCUUCUGAGAUUUGUCUGAUGUCUUUAGUUUCAACAUUUUAUGAAUGUUUUCUGAGUUUAUGAAAGUGCUGUUUCUGGUUGUUGGUGAACGAAUCCAGCAGAUGAAAACGUUGCAGGAGACUUUGGUCACAGCACAGUUAGCAGUCAGAUGUUUGCAGCUGUUUCAAGACACCAGCUGUUGACUGAACGUGAAGCACAGACCGAUCUAAUCUGAACUCUAACUGCUCAUCUAGCCAUUCUAUCUGUGUAUGCUGUUCCUGUUGUGGUGAUUCUGUAGAGUUGUUGAGGUCAGAGUUGCGUUCAGCACAACAUGUGCUUCACUGCGUUUGUAGCUGUCAAGUGUGAGAUUAAUGUCAGCAUGAAAGUGAAGCUUUGACUUGGUAGUUUUUCAGUAGUUUUGAAGUGUUUUAUGAUUUGGAUUGUUGGUAAAUCCUCAGUGAAGUGUUGCAGCAGUGUGUUUGACGCAGCUCAGCCUCCUACACACACACACACACACGCACACACACACACGCCUGUGAUUGUGGAUAGUUCACUCUGUGGUAACAUAAAUGUAAUGUUUACAGAACCUAUGAAGAUAAUAAUGUACCAUAUUUAUGUGAGGAACGUAUAUAUAGAUCUAUGAAACUGAAAUAUGCAGCGGCCCAGACUGUAGUGUGUAUGUUUGUGUGUGUAUGUGUGUAGUUUUGUUGUGUAUCUAUCAAGUGGUCAGGGCCAAUAGUGACAUGUUGACAUGAAUAAAGUUUGUGUGAAUGAACACGAAGAGUAUCCAGUGUGCUUCAUAUUAUGAGACAAAACUGACUCAGCUAAGUCUGAACUGAAACCGAACACGAAAACAUGAGAUCAUCAUACUGGACUCUGCUUGUUCUUCUGAUCAUCCCUGAUGUUUAACUAAAAUCUCUUCACUUUUUCCACAUUCAGAAACUCAUCAGUCCACCA
Molecule: RNA transcript, 4865 nt
Organism: Scatophagus argus
Lineage: Eukaryota; Metazoa; Chordata; Actinopteri; Scatophagidae
Gene name: dynamin-1-like
Exons: 25
Source: RefSeq, a predicted model, not a curated record